UGCUGCCGAGUUCUGGGCCUCGGAGGUGGUGUCUGGCAUGUAACAAGUUCUGGAGCAGAGGGGUGGGUCUCCGAGUCGUCAUCCUUCACACCCCACCCCUCACAGCAAAAUGAUCUAACUUCUGUGGAUUUCCAUCAAUCAACCAGUGGGAUUUAUUGAGCACAUUCAGUGUGCAGAGAGCAUUGUACUGAGCACUUGCGAGAGGACAGUCCAGUAGAGUUGAUUGGCUCGAUCCUUGCUCAAACAGACGAUCUCGUAUCCUCUCCUGCUCUUAGUACAGUGCUUGGCACGUAGGAAGUACUUAACAAAUAUGACAAUUAUUGUUAUGGAGUUUACAGACUAUGGAGUAGACACAUUCAAAUAAAGGAACAGACAGGGAAAGCACAGAGAAUAAGACUAUGAAGGUACCUUAGCGCUGGGAAGCUGGAGUGGAGUAUCAAAGCACUUAAAGGGGUACACAACUCUUUCUUCAAAGAACCAGUUUGCUUAUCCUUGGGUUGUUUAGAAGAGUGCUUGGCACACAGUAAGCGCUUAACAAAUAUCAUUAUUAUCAUUACAUAGCAAGCAUACCAUAAUGCAUAUGUGUUGCCUCCAGGUCGGCAAAGGAGUGUCCAGUAUUCUCUAGUGCCAUCCGGAGCCCCUGUAUGAUUGGCUGGAGACCCCCUCCUCUUGUGGAAUCAGGAGGGAACCAGGACUCCUGAAGAGAUGAUCCCAAGACUCCAGAAACUCCUUAGAAGGCCUAUGGAAUAUUGCGUUUUAAAGGGUUGCCCGUGCUAGACCCGACAGCCCUGCGUGUGGCAGAGAGAAGGAGCAAAGAUCUCAUGGGGAUGAGAUGGACCCAUGCUGCCUGUCUCUCUCCUGCAAUGAUGGAAUCAUCCCAGACAACUUCCAUGGCCAUUUACCUGCUGACUUCUCAAUGGGGUGAGCUCCCAGGUAAGCGGAAUAACAAUAAU
This 953-nucleotide long non-coding RNA is filed under the name Ornithorhynchus anatinus (platypus). RNAcentral's name for it is "lncRNA (ENSOANG00000046626.1)". Lineage: Eukaryota; Metazoa; Chordata; Mammalia; Monotremata; Ornithorhynchidae. The record is from RNAcentral.